Long non-coding RNA from Mauremys reevesii (Reeves's turtle), 1175 nucleotides. RefSeq lists it as uncharacterized. The transcript is spliced from 3 exons. Lineage: Eukaryota; Metazoa; Chordata; Testudines; Geoemydidae. The record is from RefSeq and is a predicted model, not a curated record.
CGUUAUAAUAUACUGUAUUGGACACAUUAAUCCUCUGGGCACUAAUAUGUUUUCUCUCUCUCUCCAAACCGCAAGAUUCUUAAAUUAGCAGCCUCGGGAGCUCAACGUGAUGAAGAAUUAAAGAAAACACAUCAGAAUGUCGCUUUCACCGACCACAGCACAGCGAAAUCUGGAUUCACCCGGGGACUCUUUUAGAAGCACGAUCCUGAAGUCCCUCUUGCAGCCCCGAGUGCAGCACGAAAAGAGGAAAAAUCCUGCCCUUUCCAGACCUGAAGCGAAACACACGAGCAACAAGAAACAAGGAAUCUACUCAGUUUCGAUCCAGUACAAAGCUCAAAAUUGUGCCGACGAUAAAAGCCAAAGUUAGGAGCUGCAGAAGUUUGACACUAGAAUGAAGUUAAGGCACCAAAUUAGCUUUCAAGGAAAGUUGCAUUCGAUCAUAAUAUAGUAUGAAAAAACACUGAUCAGAAGGAACAACACAGAUACAAUAUGUGAAAACGAAUCAGAGAAAAUUUGCCAAUCAGUUUUGUAUCCAGGUUUUUUUAUUCUUAAAUCUCUCUUUCAAGCCACCUUGGUCUUCAUUUGAUUUUGAUUUAAAAAUAACAGAAUCAAUAGAUCAAAGCCAUUUUAGCCAUUUCGGAAAAGGACGGACUACUUAAUUAUUGACAUCAUAGGAUAUGUUGGGACAUAAACUCUCAAAGGGCAGGUGAAAAGAAGACGUUAUUUUUACGGUGAGUUUCAGUUGGAAUUAAAUUAAACCAGUCUCCUAUUUUGCAUGCGGUAGUAGGGGACGGCAUGAAGGUAACCGGGCCAGAUCCUACUCCAGUUAAGGUUUGUCACUGGCGUUCAAUGAAAGCAAGAUGAGUCCAUUCCUUUGAAUUUGAGCGACGGGUAGACUUGUACUUUCAUGUAAUGCUCACAGAGGCUGAGAUUGCAAAGCUUUCCAGCACAGACGUAACUUUCUUACAGCCGGCACACAGGCAGGGUAAAAAGAAGAGAGGAAGACAAUUGUACUAAAUGGAUUUCUUUGCCUUUGCUAAGCAAUCCUGUGCACUAUUCCUAAAAAUGUAUGUUUGAUCCUCUGUCAUCUGCAGACUCCAUUAGGGGCGGCGGUGUAGUGAAAUUGACAGGUCGAUCAAGGCACAUCGUUAAUUUCAAUGACAUCCUCUUGCACU